AUGGUACAUGUGAAUGUUUUUGUGGCACCGUAUAUUAUUUAUUUAUUUGAACCAUCACUUGUUAUUUAUAUAUUUCAACCAUCACUUAUGGAUACAAAAUUACAAACUAGUCUAUUUAUAUUUCACACAACUUGAUAUACAUGUCUUUUGACUUUUGACUUCUUUAAGAUUCAUGGCUUAUGACUACCUUUCCUGUGGCUCACAGCAAACCUGUUGACUAAAGCAAGUGCAUUACUAGUGACUUGUGAAGCAUAAACCAUCCUCUUAGUCACAACAUCCUUCACAUGUCCAUUUACACCAAACCCCCCACUACAUAUAUUCUGAUAAGUAAGAGCAGAACUGACCCACGUCUCCACGUUGCUCAUGUGCCACUCGAAAUCUUGAUCCACGGACCGACGUCCCAUCCGCUCCAGCUCCUGAACCGACUGGCUUAGACUCACCACACUAUUGGUCAUGGUGCUGAUACAGUCUUUCACAGCUUGGUAUUCUAUAGGUUUUAAUCUAGAAACUCGGGCCAGUUUAGAAACAAAGGCCGCGGCUAACUUGGCCUCAUUUAGGCUAACUAUAACGGCCGCUUUGGCUAGAUGGUGAUCGCUACCCUUUAUAGAACCAGCGUAACUUGAGAGACAGCGGACACAAAGAGGCGGGUGCAAGGUGGUUUUACAUGAGGCUCGGAUGAAGUCGAUGGGUGCGGUGGUGGUGCACCGGAUGGUGGCUACAAGAACUAGCAAGUAAAACCCAAUUUUUUUCAUAUGUAAAGUUUGUUUUUGCAAGUUUAUGAUUACGAGAGAUGAUCGAAGUAGUGA
RNAcentral lists this long non-coding RNA (806 nucleotides) under Helianthus annuus (common sunflower). The record is from RNAcentral. Lineage: Eukaryota; Viridiplantae; Streptophyta; Magnoliopsida; Asterales; Asteraceae.